CUCGUUUAAAAUGGUCUCAUUUUUCGUGAAGGCGGUGCCACCGUCGGAUCUGAACCGGAACAGGGGGUACGAUGGAUCUCUUAGCUUCUUCUCCUGGCUUCUUGUUCUCUCCCUUAUCGGUUGCUCUCCCGGCAUGGCCUAGAUCAUCGUCAAUCUCAAUUUCAGGGGUAUACACAUUAUUGAUUCGAUGGUACUCUCUGUUCUUGGCUGGUUUUAGGGAUUUCAUCGAGUGAAUCCAGUUCGUGUGUGUUGUUGAAUUGGUGGUUUAUUGGAUUUUUUUUAUUUUGUUAGAGUUCAAUGGCUUUGAUAUUUUGCCUCUUUCAUGUCGUUGAUUCCUGUUGGAUUUGUAUAGUUCUGAAUGAGGCUUUCGUCACGGCUUCCACUGAUUUCCAUUGUUUCUUCACCGGAU
Molecule: long non-coding RNA, 409 nt
Filed under: Actinidia chinensis (golden kiwifruit)
Lineage: Eukaryota; Viridiplantae; Streptophyta; Magnoliopsida; Ericales; Actinidiaceae
Description: long non-coding RNA (ACHI_LNC000924)
Source: RNAcentral